This is a long non-coding RNA of Neofelis nebulosa (Clouded leopard), 4250 nucleotides long. RefSeq lists it as uncharacterized. The record is from RefSeq and is a predicted model, not a curated record. NCBI's taxonomy places the organism in Eukaryota, Metazoa, Chordata, Mammalia, Carnivora, Felidae. The transcript is spliced from 3 exons.
GCACCACCUUGAACAUGACAAAAGUCCUAAGCCCCUGCUCUGAAGGGGAUUGUGGCUCAUGGGCCAUUACCAUGGAGAAGUAAGAGCCUUAAAACAUAUCUAAAUAAAAUGAAGUGACAAGAGGAAAAAAGGAAAACAAAAGCUCCGCAUGCCCGGGGGGACUUUUGUUUAUGAAAUGGAAGCUGUUCAUGGAGACUGUGAGGUUUUACUGUGAACACAAGUUUCACCUCUAAAGCUAACUGAGGCCCCACAGCAUGCCCACACAGGACGCGACUGCAGGCGAGGGCCUCGAUAAUCAUCUCGUCUGGUAGAUUUUUGCACAGAGGCUCAUCUGGUCCCAUUUUUAAAGACAUGGGAAUUUUCCAAAAAAGUCAAACUUCAUUCCCUCGUAUGGGCUUUCAAAAGCAGUUGAUGGCGUUUUGGUAUUUUGGAUUGUCACCUACCCAUACGGUAUAAACAAAUCGCUUUUGAGGCAAGUUCUCAUCACAGAACACAGCCUGGUUAUCAGUCACAAAGGCCUGUCAUCAGCCUCUGCAGUCUCAUCCAGUCCCUCCAGGCUGGAUGCCUCCCGCCUGAAUGCUCCCCGCGUGUCUGAACACACCGCCCCUGUUGGAUGAGGAGCUUCAGGCUGGGGCUGGACCCCUCCUCUCUGCAAGAAAUUGCUGCUUGUAGCAGUCAGGGCAGGUCUAACUCAGGCAUGACUCAGCUCUUUGUGACCCGCGUUCUCCUUUUUCCUUGAUGAGACUGGUGUGCUGGCCCCACUUAUGGAAACAUGUGCCCUGCUCCCUCCCUUCGCCCUGCCUCAAUUUGCAGAGGGAGCAUCCCUUUUAAGAGGAAUAUUUAGAAGAUUCUAUCAUGGAAUUCUUGGUAAGAACGGUUUUGCUCCCAUGGGACAAAAGAGUUUUUCCCCCUUUGCCAGGCACCCAACCACCGCCCAUCUCCCCUUUCUCCCACUUUGCUUCUGGAUGUUUCUCUCUUACCCGGAUUUUCUCCCAGUUUGGGAUUAUCAGUCUAAAAUGAGAGUCUGGAGUUCAUCAGUGUUAUCGAUAAAACUUUGCAACUAUUUCAAAGUUUUUUCCUGUUCAAAUAGGUGAGGCUGCAAAAUGCUGAAGGGGGCACCUCUGUUCCAGAGAAAGGGAAAGAAGAAAACUGCGUGACAAAAAUACGUGGUGGGAAGUAGCACGGGGAAUCUUUGUCGAUUUUCUCUGACCACUUUGAGAAUUGUUUUUCCUUGAAAAGAAGAGAAAAGAAAAGACAACCUACCUAAAAUAUUAAUGCUAUUGUUAGAGUUCUACGAUAAUCCAAAACAGAGUCAUUUUGAAAGAAAAAGUGGCCCACUGUGCUGAAGUCAAGCAGGCCACGCAAAGCUCUGACUUCAAAGCCAUUCCUUGAUAAAACAUCAAAACGGCCCAGGGUGGGCCAGCUGUUAUCUGGAAUUCUACAGAUAAUUCACUGAAACUCGGUGCUCACUAGCCGCAGAGAGUUUCCAUAGCAAGGCCGUUCCCAGGGUCCUGCUUGAUUUUGUUGCCUCAUAUCCUGUGUUUUGUUAGGCAGGGAGAGGUUUGGACCGCCUCUCAAUAAAACUCCGUGUUAGCGCACCGGAGAAACUUGACUCCUGCUUGGCCUCGUAGAGGCCGGAAAUGUGAACUGUGCCUUCCCUGGCCCUGAAGGUGACAUCGUCUUGCUCCUCCUUCUCCACCUGGAAGCACCAGUGACUGUUUUCCCCUGGGCCUUGGUUCGCUUUGGAAGAGCGGUGGCCUGCUUUCCACCAUGAAUAUCAGAAAUAUUGCCUUUUCAACUCUGUGCUGUAAAAUGUGAUGGUACUGCAACUUCAUGAGGCACAGAGUUCCCCACUUUGGGUUUGCCAGUCCUGUGGGUUCAUUCUGGAGCCCCUCCCUCAUCUCCCAGUCUUCAAACGCCAGCCCAUCUAAUCCCUUUGCUGGAAUCACGCCAAUGGUCUCACCGAUCCUUCCCCCUUGCAUUCUUCCACUUCCCACCUCCAUGCAUUGCCCGAUCAGCAAGCCACAUUUCCCUUUAAAUGUGAAGACUCACCUGAAAGCCCACCACCUCUUCCGAGAAGCCUCCCCUGAUUAAGUGGGGAUGAAGGAGCUUUCGAAGCAUGGCUGACAGACUCCCGAUAAAUGAGAACACACACACACACAUACACACACACACACACACACACACACACACAGAAACUCACAAGAAGAGCAAAUUACACAUUCGCCACUUUCGGACAGCACGCUUCUAUGAGGCUUCCUAGAUGCACGUGUGAAGGGGACUGCCACUUGCCGGAUAUGGAUGGCACGAAUGACACUGAAGGAAGUGGGUCCUGGCAGUGCUUCCGGGCUGGUGGAUCACACUGCCCAGGAGGAACCUGCGUCUGAGACCAGUAAAUGCCUUAACCACGUAGUGUUCUCGUCAGGGAGCUUUCACGACUCCAUGCCCCCAUCCUUCUUGGGCAAACAUGCUGGCUACCUGGGACCAAGGUAGACGUAAAUAAAGGACCAAAACCCUCUAGACAAGGCCCUGCGGAGAGAAUGGCGGGCAAGCUUCCUGGCAAGUCUCCAUGUUCAGCCUCAACUAAGGCUGCUGGAGGGCAAGGGGAUCUGUAGGGAGCCCUGGAUCGGAGGCAAUCACAUCAGAAGUAGAAGCAGACAUGUUCGAUCUCCAGAAGACUGCCUUCCGGGGCCAGAGUUAAUGCCCCUUGUGGAGGCCUGAGAGACUCAUGGCAUCAAAUGACCAGAACGAGGAGAACACAGACGGAAUGGUGAUAGCUGGCAAUUAGAACAUGGCACCAAACACCACUGCCACAGACGCUUUCUAGCUACAAAGCCACGCUAGGCAACCUUGAAGCAAAACAGUAUCGAUUUUGUGGUUGUAAAAAACGUACCUUCAACUGCAGAACUCAGUUUUAUGACACCUUGAAUAAAAACAAAAAGUGGCAGUUAUAUAAUGGACCCAAAUCUCCUAGUCUUCUCAACACACACACAUGCUUCAGACCUAGAGUUUUUGCCGGCAUGUUGAGAGUUUAACUGAACAAGUAACAACUUUGAAAACAAGGUCGUUUUCAGUCCUCGAUUAGACCUGAUGGUGUCUUCGCUUCCUCCGCUGAAACCGUUUGGGGGAGUUUUUCACUAAAGAAGGGAUCUGACGUGUUUUUGGCCAAAACAAAGGCCAAGUCUGUGUGAAUGACUAUUUCUGUAUGGAAGUCACGCUGGAUAAUGAAUCGAUAAAACUUCAUCCAGCAGGACACCGGUGUGUAGUACUUUCUAUUUAAUGCUAUGUAUAGAGAUCAUUUGAUACAUGUUGGGACAGGGUAUCUGUUGAGAUACACAGAAGGUGAUUAAAAGCCAUGGUGUGAUCUGGCAACUUCCUUCUCUGAGGUGGUUGGGCCAAAGGCCAUUUACUGUUCAGAUGUGGUCAGUGUUCCAGCUCCCUGCAGGUCAGUGAACCGGCCUUCUGAGUGUGUCAGAUUGCUCAUGAACCAAGGAGACCUUACUCCUGACUGGACACUCAUGUCCCUUUUUGAUGCAUUUAAGGAUGAAAAUACUCAACUGAGAUCAACUAGACUGGGUGCAAUGAUUUGAUCAAACGAUCGUUGUUUUUUGGUGGGUCAUAGUUAUAAAUAAAUAAUAUUCCCCAAACCCUAUGGGAUGGCCAUGAUACUUGAGGCUGAGCAAAAAUGUCUAUUUACAGUUUCAUGUGGUUGGCAUUCUGGUUCUCUUUCCAACCAGAGGAGUUUCAAAUUAAAAAUGGAAACAAAACCCUUUCAAAGUCGGUAAGCCAAAUCAGGAUGAGUGUGAACACGCACCGAUUUCAACAGAUUAGGUUAACAAAGAGACAAACUUGCUCUCCAUUACAACUUUCUGAAAAAGCUGCUUUUAAGUUACCUAUCCAAUUUCAUCUUUCCCGCAGAACCAGGAGCGUCUGGUCAAUGUUUAACGAGGGACUCUCCAGGGCGAAAAGUAUGCAUAUAAAUGUAUGUAUGUUUAUUACGGUUUUUACUGAUAGACAUGAUGUGUGAUACACAACCUACAAAUAAUAAUAAAAUCCACGGUGCUCUUUACUGCACAUUCCUUACAGCCACUUGAUUUUCGCGGAAUGCUUUUGUUGAUUUUGGUCAAACUCUUGUAUUCAUAGCCAGCAAGUCAACUGUGAUUUGCACAGUUGCAAAUCAUUGCAAUUGCAAUCAUGCAUUGAAUGUCAUCCCAACCCCCUCUUUCCCUAAUAAAUGUAUUAUCAUUACA